GAUGAACGCUGGCGGCGUGCUUAACACAUGCAAGUCGAACGGAAAGGCCCAAGCUUGCUUGGGUACUCGAGUGGCGAACGGGUGAGUAACACGUGGGUGAUCUGCCCUGCACUUCGGGAUAAGCCUGGGAAACUGGGUCUAAUACCGGAUAGGACCACAUUUUGGAUGGUGUGGUGGAAAGUUUUUCGGUGUGGGAUGAGCUCGCGGCCUAUCAGCUUGUUGGUGGGGUAAUGGCCUACCAAGGCGUCGACGGGUAGCCGGCCUGGGAGGGUGUACGGCCACAUUGGGACUGAGAUACGGCCCAGACGCCUACGGGAGGCAGCAGUGGGGAAUAUUGCACAAUGGGCGCAAGCCUGAUGCAGCGACGCCGCGUGGGGGAUGACGGCCUUCGGGUUGUAAACUCCUUUCGCUAGGGACGAAGCGUUAUGUGACGGUACCUGGAGAAGAAGCACCGGCUAACUACGUG
This 466-nucleotide ribosomal RNA is filed under the name uncultured bacterium. RNAcentral's name for it is "partial 16S ribosomal RNA". It matches the Rfam family "Bacterial small subunit ribosomal RNA", at positions 28 to 507 of the family's 1533-position model. The record is from RNAcentral.